UGGGGAAUUUUGGACAAUGGGCGAAAGCCUGAUCCAGCAAUGCCGCGUGUGUGAAGAAGGCCUUCGGGUUGUAAAGCACUUUUGUCCGGAAAGAAAUCCUCUGGGUUAAUACCUCGGGGGGAUGACGGUACCGGAAGAAUAAGCACCGGCUAACUACGUGCCAGCAGCCGCGGUAAUACGUAGGGUGCAAGCGUUAAUCGGAAUUACUGGGCGUAAAGCGUGCGCAGGCGGUUUUGUAAGACGGAUGUGAAAUCCCCGGGCUUAACCUGGGAACUGCAUUCGUGACUGCAAGGCUAGAGUAUGGCAGAGGGGGGUAGAAUUCCACGUGUAGCAGUGAAAUGCGUAGAGAUGUGGAGGAAUACCGAUGGCGAAGGCAGCCCCCUGGGCCAAUACUGACGUUCAUGCACGAAAGCGUGGGGAGCAAACAGGAUUAGAUACCCUGGUAGUCCACGCCCUAAACGAUGUCAACUAGUUGUUGGGGAUUCAUUUCCUUAGUAACGUAGCUAACGCGUGAAGUUGACCGCCUGGGGAGUACGGUCGCAAGAUUAAAACUCAAAUGAAUUGACGGGGUCAUAGCU
This 578-nucleotide ribosomal RNA is filed under the name uncultured bacterium. RNAcentral's name for it is "partial 16S ribosomal RNA". It matches the Rfam family "Bacterial small subunit ribosomal RNA", at positions 355 to 926 of the family's 1533-position model. The record is from RNAcentral.